UACGGAGGGCGCAAGCGUUAAUCGGAAUCACUGGGCGUAAAGCGCGCGUAGGCUGUCUGAUAAGUCAGGCGUGAAAUCCCUCGGCUCAACCGGGGAACUGCGCUUGAUACUGUUGGACUCGAGUCCUGGAGAGGGUGGCGGAAUUCCUGGUGUAGGAGUGAAAUCCGUAGAUAUCAGGAGGAACACCGGUGGCGAAGGCGGCCACCUGGACAGGUACUGACGCUGAGGCGCGAAAGCGUGGGGAGCAAACAGG
Molecule: ribosomal RNA, 253 nt
Filed under: uncultured Desulfovibrio sp.
Lineage: Bacteria; Pseudomonadati; Thermodesulfobacteriota; Desulfovibrionia; Desulfovibrionales; Desulfovibrionaceae
Description: partial 16S ribosomal RNA
Rfam family: Bacterial small subunit ribosomal RNA
Source: RNAcentral